Molecule: long non-coding RNA, 1297 nt
Organism: Bubalus bubalis (water buffalo)
Lineage: Eukaryota; Metazoa; Chordata; Mammalia; Artiodactyla; Bovidae
Exons: 2
Source: RefSeq, a predicted model, not a curated record
CAGAGGGAGUCGCCUUUGUUUAGCAGGUCAAAGAACACAGCCUGCUGCCCACUGAGUCCUUUGUCACCUGUGGUCACCGCUCCACAUUCUCUGUCCCCACCUGGCAACCUUCCUCUUCUGCUUUAUUAAUGAAUACAAGCCACCUGCUUCUUCAUUCCAGCCCUGAUGUGACUGCCGGCUGUGCUGCCUGCCGCUGGCACCUGCAUGCUGCCUGAAAUUUGCCCGGUUCUUACAUCAGUUCUUCUGCUUCUCAGCCAGUCCUGUGUAUUUGGGGAUUGACACUGCAACCAAGGGUGAAGAACAAAGGCAGCGCAAAGGCUGCUUAACUCUGACUCAGAAGCAAAAACCUCCCACUCUCAUUCCUCUUGAUCUCUGUAAACCCACCCCCACACAGGACUAGGAAUUUCCUAAUUAGAAUUUCCAGAUUGAGAAUCUUCACCAGGUUUACAGAACAUAUGCUCCUCUCUGUUCUUGACUUUUUAUUUUUUAUUUUUUUGUUCUUGACUUUUUAAAUGAUGAAUUUUGUAAGACUUGAUACACGUAAAAUGCGUAGAAUGUGUAUGCAUAUGAAACAAACAGUCAUGAGCCCACCAUCCAACCUAAGAACUGCAGCAUAAUCUGCUAGAUGUAUCUUCUGCUCUAUUAUAAAGUAGUUUUUGAAACUGCUUUCCUUAAAUAACUAGCACAUACAGUAGAAUAACUACAACGAAAAACGAUACAAUUAGCUUCUCUGUGCCUAUCAUCCACUAUAGAAAAAGAGCAUUCUUACUACCUUUGCAGUCUCCUGUGUGAGUGACUGUGGGCUCAGCCAUGUCCGACUUUUUGUGACUCCCUGGAUAUAACCCACCAGGCUCCUCUGUCCACGGAAUUCUCCAGGCAAGAAUACUGGAGCUGGUUGCCAUUUCUGCCUCCAAGGAACUUUCCCACCCAGGGAUUGAACCUGAGCCUCUUGUAUCUCCUACACUGGCAGACUGAUUCUUUACCAUUGCACCACCCGGUCCUGUGUGUCCCUCCCCAAUUCUGUUCAGGACUAUUUGCUACCAUUGGGGGUAUAAUUUUCAGAACUUGUCCCCAGUAAAAGUGUUCAGGAUUUAGAACAUGUAAAGCAUUCUUAAUACUUUAGGGACUUACAAGGUGGUCCAGUGGCUAGGACAUCACUCUUCUGGUGCUCUGGGCCUGGGUUCAAUCCCAGGUCAGGGAACUAGAUCUCACAUACCGAAACUGAAAAAAUGAUCCCAUAUGCCACAGUGAGGAUAAAGGAUCCCAUUUGCUACAGCUGAGACUCAGCACAACCAAA